ACCACCACAAGAAACAGGUCCUCACUUUAGGACCUAAUGCAUGUGUACAUGUCAUGUUUUUGUGCGUAUGGUAUUCCUAUUUAUUAAUGAAAUAAACCAAGAGCCACUGCUAGUGCGGGAGCUCAGUGUACAAAUCAGAGUUUUCAUUCCUGCAAGAGAUCACCAGUUCAGGGUGAGAAUAUUGGGCAGUGCAUAGAGUUGCAUUCAAUAACACUUCCUUUGUGUUAAUGUAGUUAGUGUGUAAUUGCUGUAUUUGGACUUGAGAAGAGAUUUAUUAGCAAUCCGCUGAGGACCAAUUUACAUAAUCAAACAUUUUUUCCUCUGGCCAGUGGUUGAUUGCUCCAUCAGGUGGCUCUAUUUUUCAGAGGGGUAGCUAUGCUAGUCUCCUGCAGCAGAAACAACAAAAAGUCUUGUGGUACUUCGAAGACUAACACGUUUUAUUAUGGUGGCAACUUUCAUGGUCUGGAAUCAGCUUUGUCAGAUGCAUGAAGUGCAGUCCCAGUUUGGAAGGUGUAUAUAUCAUGAGGGUGUAAAGGAUACAUGCAACACAUCAAGUAGGAAUUGAACGCAAGGAAUUGCAAAAAGUACAGUCAGUGACAAUUCAAUUAGAGCUUAAAUGUUUACAAAAUAGUAUCAGUAACCCUUUACACCACUACAGUCACUGGAGCCUGGUCCACUAGAAUCAAUGGGGCACUGCCCCAGUACCUCAGUCUGCCUUCAGCAAACCCCUGUUUUCUUACCAUCAGGGAAUGGUGGCAGUUCUGCCUGUCAUUGGCUGUGGUUCCCACCUCCUGAUGCCCCCAUUGCCUUCUGCCCCACCAAGCCUGAUGAGCAAUGAGCACCAGCCACCACUGACUACAAGUGGAAUUUACUUAACAGUGCCAGAUGUUCAUUUUAUUACCAACCUGUUUACAGUAACAGACUGGUGAUAACACAGUCAGUUAACAUUGCCAAGUAAAUCACAUCCUGAGUGCAACAGGAAACCACUGUCUUUAUUCAAACCCAAAUGGAUAAUAUUGAACUUCCUGAGGAGUUGUAAUUCAGCAGUUUCAUGGUGGAGCCUCCCUUUGAGGUUCCUUUGUUCUGGACAGUAACAACCUCACAAGUUGAAACGCUCUCCUGCUGGUAUAUUGCAAUUUCUGCUGUCAGAUUUGUGUGCAUUUAUUAUUUGAUUCAGGGGCUACUGGCAUAUACAUUUAUAGCCACGAGGAGGUUUGGGGGAAAAUUAUUUCACUGUGUACUGAAAACCUACCUGGCCAAUUAACACAGAGAUCAUAUAGCCAUUUCCCCAUGUGGACAAGUAUAGUGUCCAAUGAAUUUGCUGAGUGGCUGGACUUAGUUUUCAGCCAUGUGAAUCAGUCCUACCCAGUCACAGUGAUAAUGACAGAGAAUGGGCUUUCAGCUUAAAUCCAAGCACUCUGCCUUAAUUUUUUUAUAUAGAAAUGUGCUGCUUAAUACUGCUAUGUGAUUUGUCCAGGCAACAUUGCUACUAAUAGGUUGUGCAUAAAUUAUGAUCGCUUAAGAAUGGCGGAGGUAUUUCCAUUUUGCACCUUGGCUAUUACAGCUGCAGAGAAAAUGAACAAAAUGAGAUUACAAACUUAUAAAUACAGGGUAUGCAAUGGAGAGGGGGGAAGUCGGGUGGGGGACGUAAAAGAGAAGCAGAGAUACAACCUUAACUCCAGCCAUACAAAUGGUCCUGCUAUUAUUUACUAUGGUAACAUUAUAAAAGACUACACUGUUUGGGACCAUUAUCCUUCCAGCUCCCUUUUCAGUACAAAUCAUUAUAUUUAUUAUCUGUCGUCUUGUAUAGAGGGUCAUGAGAAAGGCCAAUCGAAAGCAGAAGAAGCCUGCUUUUCAGAAGAAAAUUGGACCUAUUUCUAAUUCUCUUUCAUUCUCAAGUACAAGGAAGUGCAGACUUUUUUUGUGUGAAAAAUUGUUUCAUGCAAGAUAAAAGUACAGAUUAUCGGUGAGAAAAUGGCACACUCUUCCUGACACCUUGCAGAUUCUUGGGAGAUAUUGCCAGUUUUCCUAAAAGAUUUUUACCUUUCAUAUCCUGAAAAAUAUGUUUCCUUAUAGGUGCUGAGCAGCAGGUGCCAGAGUUUAAGGUAUUAUUUUUGAAUAUGUUGUAUAUAAGGGAUAUCAAUGACUCGGCUGUAUGUUUUAACAAUGUAGUCCCUUAAAGUAAAUACCAUGUUGUAUAUCAUGGAGGAAAUGGAUGUUUUUUUGCAAAUGUGUGCCCAGCAUCAAGGUUCAGUUUGUAGGCUUCUGUCUGCUUUUGUGCAUAUGCAAAUAAAUGAAAUUAAAAUAUG
RNAcentral lists this long non-coding RNA (2309 nucleotides) under Podarcis lilfordi (Lilford's wall lizard). The record is from RNAcentral. Lineage: Eukaryota; Metazoa; Chordata; Lepidosauria; Squamata; Lacertidae.